Molecule: ribosomal RNA, 484 nt
Filed under: uncultured bacterium
Lineage: Bacteria
Description: partial 16S ribosomal RNA
Rfam family: Bacterial small subunit ribosomal RNA
Source: RNAcentral
AUUGAACGCUGGCGGCAUGCCUAACACAUGCAAGUCGAGCGGAUGAAGGGAGCUUUCUCCUGGAUUCAGCGGCGGACGGGUGAGUAAUGCCUAGGAAUCUGCCUGGUAGUGGGGGAUAACGUCCGGAAACGGGCGCUAAUACCGCAUACGUCCUGAGCGAGAAAGUGGGGGAUCUUCGGACCUCACGCUAUCAGAUGAGCCUAGGUCGGAUUAGCUAGUUGGUGGGGUAAAGGCCUACCAAGGCGACGAUCCGUAACUGGUCUGAGAGGAUGAUCAGUCACACUGGAACUGAGACACGGUCCAGACUCCUACGGGAGGCAGCAGUGGGGAAUAUUGGACAAUGGGCGAAAGCCUGAUCCAGCAAUGCCGCGUGUGUGAAGAAGGUCUUCGGAUUGUAAAGCACUUUAAGUUGGGAGGAAGGGCAGUAAGUUAAUACCUUGCUGUUUUGACGUUACCAACAGAAUAAGCACCGGCUAACUUCGUG